GAUUAACGCUAGCGGCAGGCCUAAUACAUGCAAGUCGAACGGUAACAGGUCCAGCAAUGGAUGCUGACGAGUGGCGCACGGGUGCGUAACACGUAUGCAAUCUACCCUUAACUGGGGGAUAGCCCCGAGAAAUCGGGAUUAAUACCCCAUAAUAUUAUGAAGUGGCAUCAUUUUAUAAUUAAAGCUGCGGCGGUUUUGGAUGAGCAUGCGCGACAUUAGCUAGUUGGUGAGGUAACGGCUCACCAAGGCUUCGAUGUCUAGGGGUUCUGAGAGGAUUCACCCCCACACUGGUACUGAGACACGGACCAGACUCCUACGGGAGGCAGCAGUAAGGAAUAUUGGUCAAUGGACGCAAGUCUGAACCAGCCAUGCCGCGUGCAGGAUGACGGCCCUACGGGUUGUAAACUGCUUUUGUACGGGAAAAAACCUCCGGUCGUGAAUCGGAGCUGAUGGUACCGUAAGAAUAAGCAUCGGCUAACUCCGUGCCAGCAGCCGCGGUAAUACGGAGGAUGCAAGCGUUAUCCGGAUUCAUUGGGUUUAAAGGGUGCGCAGGCGGAAUGAUAAGUCAGUGGUGAAAUCUCUCGGCUCAACUGAGAAACUGCCAUUGAUACUGUUGUUCUUGAGUACACUUGAAGUGGGCGGAAUGUGUCAUGUAGCGGUGAAAUGCUUAGAUAUGACACAGAACACCGAUCGCGAAGGCAGCUCACUAAAUUGUAACUGACGCUCAGGCACGAAAGCGUGGGGAUCAAACAGGAUUAGAUACCCUGGUAGUCCACGCCGUAAACGAUGAUCACUCGAUGUUGGCGAUAUACAGUCAGCGUCUAAGCGAAAGCAUUAAGUGAUCCACCUGGGGAGUACGGCCGCAAGGUUG
Molecule: ribosomal RNA, 871 nt
Filed under: uncultured bacterium
Lineage: Bacteria
Description: bacterial SSU rRNA
Rfam family: Bacterial small subunit ribosomal RNA
Source: RNAcentral